AUACGUAGGGGGCGAGCGUUGUCCGGAAUGAUUGGGCGUAAAGGGCGUGUAGGCGGCCUGUUAAGUCUGGAGUGAAAGUCCCGUUUUCAAGAUGGGAAUUGCUUUGGAUACUGGCGGGCUUGGGUGCAGGAGAGGGUAUCGGAAUUCCCGGUGUAGCGGUGAAAAGCGUAGAGAUCGGGAGGAACACCAGUGGCGAAGGCGGGUAACUGGACUGCAACUGACGCUGAGGCGCGAAAGUGUGGGGAGCAAACAGGAUUAGAUACCCUGGUAGUCCACACUGUAAACGAUGAAUGCUAGGUGUAGGGGGUAUCGACCCCUUCUGUGCCGCAGUAAACACAAUAAGCAUUCCGCCUGGGGAGUACGGCCGCAAGGUUGAAACUCAAAGGAAUUGACGGGG
Molecule: ribosomal RNA, 397 nt
Filed under: uncultured bacterium
Lineage: Bacteria
Description: partial 16S ribosomal RNA
Rfam family: Bacterial small subunit ribosomal RNA
Source: RNAcentral